CCCUCGAAAUUCUGUGGCGAGGUGAUUCAGUCUGGUGCUGCGGACGCGGAACCGGAAGUUUACUUUAGGGCUUCCUGGUAACAGGGCCGUCCAGAUCCGCGUUUUUCGCGGUCACAGACGCAUUUCUCUCGUCCCAAGGACGCCGCAGCCGGUCGGGCAGUUCAAGCAUGUCGGCCUGAAGGUGGGGAGCGGGCAGGUGGCCGGUGGCGAGUUUCGAUUCGUCGUCGGUUGUUAGCCAUCCCCUCAGUGGCUCGACGUUCGACCGUGGUGUCUCAAGGCCCUGAAAGGGCUUCCUCGUCUCCAUCCCGGUGGGACAGACGGUCGCAGGCGGACUCCGUUACUGCGUCGCACUCCCUCGGAGUGGUCGUGCGAACGGAGGGCGCCGUUGGCGGCUGCGGACCCGUGGGGGACCGGAGGCUAGCGGCGAGUAGGUCGGUCACCCUCCCGACCCGUCUUGAAACACGGACCAAGGAGUCUAACAUGUGCGCGAGUCAAUGGGUCUUGAACAGGCCCAUGGGCGCAAUGAAAGCGAAGGUCGUGUCGGGAUCCUCUCCCUCUCAGGGGAGGGGGGCACCGACGACCCGUCCUAUUCGGCUCGCCGUUUGGACGGAGUCUGAGCGUACACGUUGGGACCCGAAAGAUGGUGAACUAUGCCUGGACAGGACGAAGCCAGGGGAAACUCUGGUGGAGGUCCGAAGCGGUUCUGACGUGCAAAUCGAUCGUCAGAUCUGGGUAUAGGGGCGAAAGACUAAUC
This 754-nucleotide ribosomal RNA is filed under the name Attulus albolineatus. RNAcentral describes it as "eukaryotic LSU rRNA". The stretch from base 466 to 754 matches the Rfam family "Eukaryotic large subunit ribosomal RNA", at positions 665 to 936 of the family's 3401-position model. Lineage: Eukaryota; Metazoa; Arthropoda; Arachnida; Araneae; Salticidae. The record is from RNAcentral.